RNAcentral lists this ribosomal RNA (744 nucleotides) under uncultured Staphylococcus sp. Its description in RNAcentral is "bacterial SSU rRNA". It matches the Rfam family "Bacterial small subunit ribosomal RNA", at positions 65 to 791 of the family's 1533-position model. The record is from RNAcentral. Lineage: Bacteria; Bacillati; Bacillota; Bacilli; Caryophanales; Staphylococcaceae.
AGCGAACAGACGAGGAGCUUGCUCCUCUGACGUUAGCGGCGGACGGGUGAGUAACACGUGGAUAACCUACCUAUAAGACUGGGAUAACUUCGGGAAACCGGAGCUAAUACCGGAUAAUAUAUUGAACCGCAUGGUUCAAUAGUGAAAGACGGUUUUGCUGUCACUUAUAGAUGGAUCCGCGCCGCAUUAGCUAGUUGGUAAGGUAACGGCUUACCAAGGCAACGAUGCGUAGCCGACCUGAGAGGGUGAUCGGCCACACUGGAACUGAGACACGGUCCAGACUCCUACGGGAGGCAGCAGUAGGGAAUCUUCCGCAAUGGGCGAAAGCCUGACGGAGCAACGCCGCGUGAGUGAUGAAGGUCUUCGGAUCGUAAAACUCUGUUAUUAGGGAAGAACAAAUGUGUAAGUAACUAUGCACGUCUUGACGGUACCUAAUCAGAAAGCCACGGCUAACUACGUGCCAGCAGCCGCGGUAAUACAUAGGUGGCAAGCGUUAUCCGGAAUUAUUGGGCGUAAAGCGCGCGUAGGCGGUUUUUUAAGUCUGAUGUGAAAGCCCACGGCUCAACCGUGGAGGGUCAUUGGAAACUAGAAAACUUGAGUGCAGAAGAGGAAAGUGGAAUUCCAUGUGUAGCGGUGAAAUGCGCAGAGAUAUGGAGGAACACCAGUGGCGAAGGCGACUUUCUGGUCUGUAACUGACGCUGAUGUGCGAAAGCGUGGGGAUCAAACAGGAUUAGAUACCCUGGU